GGAUAGCUGGUGUGGCCUGCUUUCACAAGAGGCGUCUCCCUGGAAGGGGAGGGCCAGUUCAGGUCCCCUUGAGUGGCUGGGCCAUAUUGUCAGCAGGCUCACCUCUAGAUUGCAGCAGGCAGCCUGGGAUGCCCACGCCUGCCAAGGAGGAGAUGACCUCAAGACAAGCAGCUUCCAUGCAAUACUGCAGCAAGGGCUUACUUUCCUGAGCAUUUCCCACGCUCCAAUCACUGCUCUAAUUCCUUUAGAUGUGUUAACUCACUUCCUGCUCACAAUACUUCUAUGAGGUACAGAGAAGGUAUCAUCUGUGAAGAACAGGACCUCAUCAGACACUAGAUCUGCUGGCACCUUGAUCUUGGAUUUCCCAGCCUCCAGAAUUGUGAGCAAUGAAUUUCUGUUGUUUAUAAAUUACCCCGUCUAAAGUAUUUUGUUAUAGCAACAGGAAUGAACUUAGAUACCACUAUACACACUCUGCUUGCACUGAUGGUGCUUUGGAGGUUGAAGGAAUUGGGUGUUCGAUAUGUGCUGAAGAGUUAAGGGAAAAGGGCAGUUGUUGCAUGUUACUGGAAUUGAAAAGUAGAAAAGCGAACAUUUAUGUGACUAAGAAAAAUGGAAAUCCCUUAGCCCUGAAGAUCUUCAGUGAUAUUAGGAAGAUUCUCUCUUUCCCAUCACAUAUGGAUUUAGGGUUAAAGUCACUCCACUUAAAUAUUAUGGCAACAGAGAGGCGCUCAGGACCUGGAGACCUCCAAGCUGCUGCUGACUUUUGAGUUUCACAACGUUGAGAAGACAUAUUGAGCAUCCACCAUCGGCCAGGCAGAUCAAAGAAUGGAUCUGGGAGGGAAGUAGUGAGUGGAUGAAGAGAAACACAAAAAAGCUGAAAAUGCCAGACACAUCCCGAUCUCCCUUGCACCAAGCAGAGCCGUGGCCUGGGCUCAGCCAAUCAGACUCAUCGCUCCUGAGCUGAAUUACAAGCGAAUGAAGUGGAGAAGGAGGGACCCUGCAGGAUCCAUUCUAGCAAGGGCGUUGGCAGCCACAGCAGCCACAACAGUUUCCCCGAGGCGGCAGAUCUGGUGGCUGCAUCUGAAUGGAACAGCAGAGGGCUGGCAUUGUAAACUAUGAGCUGCAGGUCCACAGCAGCAACAGCGGAGUCUGCACAGGGCCGGUUCUGAGCCUGCUUUCCAACAUCAUCCCAGCUGUAUGGCCUCCAAGGCUGGUUUUAGGCUCUCUCAUAUACUCUGUGUGCUAUCCAAUAUCCUACAAUAAAUUCCUUUCUGGUGUAAAUCAGGAAAAAUUAGUUUGUUGCUUGCAAACUAAGCACCCUGGCUGUUAUAUGCACAACUUCUGGAAGGGCACACAGACACAAUCCAUUACUAAAAUGACUAGUCUUAUUGAAAGCUUUCUA
Molecule: long non-coding RNA, 1402 nt
Filed under: Homo sapiens (human)
Lineage: Eukaryota; Metazoa; Chordata; Mammalia; Primates; Hominidae
Description: HSALNT0152969
Source: RNAcentral